Molecule: long non-coding RNA, 2117 nt
Filed under: Cairina moschata (Muscovy duck)
Lineage: Eukaryota; Metazoa; Chordata; Aves; Anseriformes; Anatidae
Description: domestica (muscovy Duck (domestic type)) lncRNA (ENSCMMG00000000324.1)
Source: RNAcentral
UUCUGAUGCAAAAUGAUGUAAAAUAAAAAGCUAUUCCUUAGUGAGCAGGGCUGCUAAUUCCUCCUAUCUUCUCUGUUUUACAGCCACAACUGGUCAGACAUGCUGACCAGGAAACUCAAAUUUGUCCUGAGGAACACAAAGAGGACACUGACAAAAGCAACCUUUAAAGAACUGGGGAGCCUGAAGGAGACUGAAAUGAGUCUUGAAGAGGAAGAAAUCUAAGAAGAACACAGCAAAGAACUAGUAAGACCAGGAUGAACAGUGUGAAGUCAACCCCAGUAGGGAAGUCCAAACCCUCCAUUUAAUUCCCUCCCAGCCAAAAGCAGUAUAAUUGCUGAAGCCUCUUAGCUCUUGCAGGGGAAGAGCCUGAGAAGGCAGAUGAACCCCAAUCACCAUUUCUCAUUGAAACUGGGCACUGGAUCAGAGCUUUAUUCACCAUUGUUCCAUAUGUGGAAUUUUUUGACUGAUGUCCAUUGGAAGGAAAGCAAUGGUGCUUUCCUUCAUCAGCACCUCAGUCACAACGAUGGGCCCGAGGCAUAUUUUAGAUGACUUUAUUAAAGAAGGCAAGCCAAACUCCACAAAUCUCAGAAGGAUACUAAGUGAACAGCUAAUUCACCAUAGCAAGUAUAAGACGUGCACUGUCAAAGUAAAAGCUGUUCAUGCUGUAUCUAUCUGAAGAGUGAAAAUGGGUCUAGUAUCUACAAUACCCAGACUGAGCUGAUAAGUAAGACACCGGAGCAGUUUUGCACUGGCAGCUGGAGGCCAGACACCAAACCUUAAGAUCUGAAAUAAUGCUAGGCAGAUAUGUUUAAUGAAAUACACCUUUAAAGUUAGGUGUCGUAACCCCAAAGUGAAACCCAUCCCAGAUAUCCUCAUUCAAAUGGAUGAAUCGUGCCCUAAAAGUGCUUGCCAUCGACUGUAACAGAAUCUGCACCAGUGGAGAAACCUGCAUCAUGGAUGACUAAAGUCAAGCUAGAUCAACCUCAUUCCCACAUAGUUCAUCACCAGUUUGGAGGAAGUGCUGGACUCCCUGACAUUUUCCCUGGAAAACUCCACCACUGUGCUUGUCUAGAUGGCAAGUAUGUGCUAAUCCUCUCUGAGACACUUCUUAUUCCCAGCACACAGGCAAAGCGGAUGUAAAGGAAAAAGCAUGUGAGCAGAAAACAUAAAAUCCUGAAAAACUUCUGAUUGAUCCCUUUAUCUGGUAAUGUGACAGCAAGCAGGAGAGAGAAAGACUUUCUACUUCUGAUAUAUGUCAAAUUACACAUUUGUAAAUGUAUGAGAAGGAAAAACACACAACAAACAACAGCAAAACCCAACACACUUCUUCAAACUACUGCUAUGUAUGUAUUCUCUCAAUAUCUACACAUAUGCACAGAUACAUAUGUAUUUGAAUUUUGGGGUACCCAGUGUUUUUGUUAGUCUGAGACAAUUUUAAGAAAAUGCUGGGUAGCUGCAAACUGAAUUCUUCAGACGAAGAACAUUUAAACAAGAAGAUUUCAAUCUGCCCUUCUGCACACAGUUUUUGAAUUCCUUCUUCAGCAUGCUGUCUUCAAAAAUAAACAGCAUUCUUUGAAUUUAUUAAAAAACACAUAAAAUAGUAGAUCUGUGGGAAAGGAGAGCAGAAAGGCAAAGUUCUGAUCACUGACGACUUCAGUAAUCCCAGGAUAAUUCUUAAUUCUCUUUGAAGCCAGUGUAGUUUUUUUCCCCCUCUUAAUUUCAACAGGAAGAAGCCAAGGACUCAUCCCCAAGUGUGAUAACCUCUGCUGUUAAAAAGCCAUAAAAUAUAUUUAUAUUUUCCUGGUAUUGUUCUGUUUAGACAGGUUUAGGUUUACUCGUGAGAUUUCUUCCCACACUAAACAUAAUUACUGUAUCACACUCCUCUCUUGUUAUUCUGCUCCUAAAAAUAGUGUUUGGAUGUUAUGAUGUUAAGAUGGGGCCUGGAAGCAGCAAAUGUAAAUCUCGUAGCUCUGCAGCCAACUUUUCAGGUGAUUGUGGGCCGGUUGCUUGGUUGAUUUCUUGGAUAGUGAAGCACCCACUCUAGAAAACACCAUUGCAGGAGGGUUUACUGCUAAUGUUAUAGGGUAAAAUUAAAUGUAAUCAUGCAAAUCUGCUGA